ACGAUGAAGAGUUUGAUCCUGGCUCAGGAUGAACGCUAGCGGCAGGCUUAACACAUGCAAGUCGAGGGGUAACAGGAAUAGCUUGCUAUUUGCUGACGACCGGCGCACGGGUGAGUAACGCGUAUGCAACCUACCUUUUACUGGAGAAUAGCCUUUAGAAAUGAAGAUUAAUACUCCAUAAUAUUAUAGAUCAGCAUUGAUUUAUUAUUAAAGUUUCGGCGGUAAAAGAUGGGCAUGCGUUUUAUUAGUUAGUUGGUAAGGUAACGGCUUACCAAGACUACGAUAAAUAGGGGUCCUGAGAGGGAGAUCCCCCACACUGGUACUGAGACACGGACCAGACUCCUACGGGAGGCAGCAGUGAGGAAUAUUGGACAAUGGAGGCAACUCUGAUCCAGCCAUGCCGCGUGCAGGAAGACGGCCCUAUGGGUUGUAAACUGCUUUUAUACAGGAAGAAACCUCCCCACGUGUGGGGAGCUGACGGUACUGUAAGAAUAAGGACCGGCUAACUCCGUGCCAGCAGCCGCGGUAAUACGGAGGGUCCAAGCGUUAUCCGGAAUCAUUGGGUUUAAAGGGUCCGUAGGCGGACUAUUAAGUCAGUGGUGAAAUCUUACAGCUCAACUGUAAAAUUGCCAUUGAUACUGGAUUUCUUGAAUUAGUGUGAAGUGGUUAGAAUGUGUAGUGUAGCGGUGAAAUGCAUAGAUAUUACACAGAAUACCAAUUGCGAAGGCAGAUCACUAACACUAUAUUGACGCUGAGGGACGAAAGCGUGGGGAGCGAACAGGAUUAGAUACCCUGGUAGUCCACGCCGUAAACGAUGGAUACUAGCUGUUCGAUCUUCGGAUUGAGUGGCUAAGCGAAAGUGAUAAGUAUCCCACCUGGGGAGUACGUUCGCAAGAAUGAAACUCAAAGGAAUUGACGGGGGCCCGCACAAGCGGUGGAGCAUGUGGUUUAAUUCGAUGAUACGCGAGGAACCUUACCAGGGCUUAAAUGUAGUCUGACAGCUUUAGAAAUAGAGUUUUCUUCGGACAGAUUACAAGGUGCUGCAUGGUUGUCGUCAGCUCGUGCCGUGAGGUGUCAGGUUAAGUCCUAUAACGAGCGCAACCCCUGUUGUUAGUUGCCAGCGAGUAAUGUCGGGAACUCUAGCAAGACUGCCAGUGCAAACUGUGAGGAAGGUGGGGAUGACGUCAAAUCAUCACGGCCCUUACGUCCUGGGCCACACACGUGCUACAAUGGCCGGUACAGAGAGCAGCCACUACGCGAGUAGGAGCGAAUCUUCAAAACCGGUCUCAGUUCGGAUCGAAGUCUGCAACUCGACUUCGUGAAGCUGGAAUCGCUAGUAAUCGUAUAUCAGCAAUGAUACGGUGAAUACGUUCCCGGGCCUUGUACACACCGCCCGUCAAGCCAUGGAAGCUGGGAGUGCCUGAAGUCGGUGACCGUAAGGAGCUGCCUAAGGUAAAACUGGUAACUGGGGCUAAGUCGAAACAAGGUAGCCGUACCGGAAGGUGCGGCUGGAACACCUCCUUU
This 1524-nucleotide ribosomal RNA is filed under the name uncultured prokaryote. Its description in RNAcentral is "partial 16S ribosomal RNA". It matches the Rfam family "Bacterial small subunit ribosomal RNA". The record is from RNAcentral.